CACUCAUCACCCUGUGACAUACCUAUAACGUUGCCUCGGCGGGAACAGACGGCCCCGUAACACGGGCCGCCCCCGCCAGAGGACCCCCUAACUCUGUUUCUAUAAUGUUUCUUCUGAGUAAACAAGCAAAUAAAUUAAAACUUUCAACAACGGAUCUCUUGGCUCUGGCAUCGAUGAAGAACGCAGCGAAAUGCGAUAAGUAAUGUGAAUUGCAGAAUUCAGUGAAUCAUCGAAUCUUUGAACGCACAUUGCGCCCGCCAGUAUUCUGGCGGGCAUGCCUGUUCGAGCGUCAUUACAACCCUCAGGCCCCCGGGCCUGGCGUUGGGGAUCGGCGGAAGCCCCCUGCGGGCACAACGCCGUCCCCCAAAUACAGUGGCGGUCCCGCCGCAGCUUCCAUUGCGUAGUAGCUAACACCUCGCAACUGGAGAGCGGCGCGGCCACGCCGUAAAACACCCAACUUCUGAAUGUUGACCUCGAAUCAGGUAGGAAUACCCGCUGAACUUAAGCAUAUCAAUAAGCGGAGGA
RNAcentral lists this ribosomal RNA (525 nucleotides) under Fusarium solani. RNAcentral describes it as "eukaryotic LSU rRNA". The stretch from base 139 to 292 matches the Rfam family "5.8S ribosomal RNA". The record is from RNAcentral. Lineage: Eukaryota; Fungi; Ascomycota; Sordariomycetes; Hypocreales; Nectriaceae.